Molecule: long non-coding RNA, 961 nt
Organism: Trichechus manatus latirostris (Florida manatee)
Lineage: Eukaryota; Metazoa; Chordata; Mammalia; Sirenia; Trichechidae
Exons: 3
Source: RefSeq, a predicted model, not a curated record
CGGUGCCCACCGACCUGAGGCCUGGUCUUGGCCCGCGGUCGCUCCGCCCUGACCGGCUGCGGGACCCUGGCCAGGCCCUGCCGCUUCUGAGUUGCCCUUUUCGGGGCAGCACGGGCUCUUUCUGCCCUUUUUCAAUCAGACCAUUUGUUGGGCAUGCACUGUAUGCCAGGCACUGUGCCAAGCGCUGAGAUUCGGGCGGUGGACUUCGUGAUCUGCCUCUGGCAAUCUGUAAUUCCAGGGCCAGGCUUCCCUCAUCUCUGAAGACUGACUGGACAGGCGUGUUGGAGGGCAGGAAAAGUUCACCACUGUGCCAGAAUGGCUCCAGAUAACUUAAAAGGUGUGCAUCCCAAGUGGAAGCCUGUGAGGGACCCUGAAAGCAACUUGGACAGAAGCAUGUGCAUCACUGGACCCAGCGCCAGUCAGGUGGUGGAAGCUAUCAGGAAACACUCAUUGACAAGAGUUCACGAAACGGACUUUGAAAACUGAGCCUUCUCCAAGGAGGACAUACUCCCCAGAGACCAUCUCAGAUGUGGCCAUGAAUGAUAAUCAACAAGGAAGAACUUCUCAGAGGGCACAGCCAGGAGCACAGAGAACAACAGGCAAAGGAGCCCGUCCUAGAGAGCAAAACCAGGGUCUACAGAAGAACUAGAUGGUGCCCGGCUACCACCAAUGACCACCCUGACAGGGAACACAACAGAGAGUCCCUGACAGAGCAGGAGAAAAGUGGGUGCAGAACUCAAAUUCUAGUAAAAGGACCAGACUUAAUGGUUUGACUGAGACUGGAGUGACCCUGGAAGACAUGACCCCCGGACUUUCUGUUGACCCAAAAUUAAAACCAAUCCCGAGGCCAACUCUUCAGACAAAGAUUAGACUGGACUAUGAGACAUAAAGUGAUACUCAUGAGGAGUGUGCUUCUUAGCUCAAGUAGAUAACAUGAGACUAAAUGGGCAGCUCCUGUCCG